This 253-nucleotide ribosomal RNA is filed under the name uncultured bacterium. Its description in RNAcentral is "partial 16S ribosomal RNA". It matches the Rfam family "Bacterial small subunit ribosomal RNA", at positions 524 to 776 of the family's 1533-position model. The record is from RNAcentral.
UACGUAGGGGGCAAGCGUUGUCCGGAUUUAUUGGGCGUAAAGAGCGUGUAGGCGGCUAGGUAGGUCCGUUGUGAAAACUCGAGGCUCAACCUCGAGACGCCGGUGGAAACCAUCUAGCUAGAGUCCGGAAGAGGAGAGUGGAAUUCCUGGUGUAGCGGUGAAAUGCGCAGAUAUCAGGAGGAACACCGAUGGCGAAGGCAGAUCUCUGGGCCGUAACUGACGCUGAGGAGCGAAAGCAUGGGGAGCGAACAGG